This is a long non-coding RNA of Cyprinus carpio (common carp), 698 nucleotides long. Lineage: Eukaryota; Metazoa; Chordata; Actinopteri; Cypriniformes; Cyprinidae. The record is from Ensembl.
UCAGACAUACACACAUAUGUAUAUAGCAGACACCAGACGUCACCCAGAUUCACAGUAAACACAUAAUAAAUAACAGCUAGUCAUAGAAAUGCAGAAACCGAUCAUGCAUUUCUAUAAAACCAGCACAGACCUUAUUUUGGUUACUCUAACUCUGAUUCUGAAGGAAAAUGUUUAUAUUGGUUUGAAACACUAUUUAUUGUUUGCAGCGGGGCACUGCGGUUCCGCUCCGCUCCUGCAGGCGGCGGUAAAGCAGCUGUAACGCUCAAAUACACGCCAUCUUCAUGCACGAGGAACGCAUCGUUCUUUUUCCGCCCGGAUCAGCAGAGACUGCGAGGUGGCAAGAUGCAGAUCUUUGUGAAAACUCUGACCGGUAAGACCAUCACCCUCGAGGUCGAGCCCAGCGACACCAUCGAGAAUGUGAAGGCCAAGAUCCAGGACAAGGAGGUACAAAAUAUCUAAACCUCUUUAAAUCAAGAUACAUUUACUUGAGAUGCAAGCUGAAGAUGUGAAGCUAUGUUUUCUAAGGAUUUAAACCAAACUAAGUGUGUUUAUGCUUUAAAUAAUAACGGGUAUCAAAUUUAAUUUAAUAUAAAGGUAAUUCAAUUUUCAAAUUCAGUAAAAUUAUUAGUAAUUUUUUUUUAUUUGCUCACUUCAUUUUGAUACAUUUCUCAGAAAAUAAAACUUAAAGGGUUAGUUCA